RNAcentral lists this ribosomal RNA (1298 nucleotides) under metagenome. RNAcentral's name for it is "bacterial LSU rRNA". It matches the Rfam family "Bacterial large subunit ribosomal RNA", at positions 1635 to 2925 of the family's 2925-position model. The record is from RNAcentral.
UACACGACCGUACCGCAAACCGACACUGGUGCGCGAGAUGAGUAUUCUAAGGCGCUUGAGAGAACUCGGGAGAAGGAACUCGGCAAAUUGACACCGUAACUUCGGAAGAAGGUGUGCCUUUAGUAGGUGAAGGGAUUUACUCCUGGAGCCCAAUGAGGUUGCAAAAAAUCGGUGGCUGCGACUGUUUAUUAAAAACACAGCACUCUGCAAACACGAAAGUGGACGUAUAGGGUGUGACGCCUGCCCGGUGCUGGAAGAUUAAAUGAUGGGGUGCAAGCUCUUGAUUGAAGUCCCAGUAAACGGCGGCCGUAACAAUAACGGUCCUAAGGUAGCGAAAUUCCUUGUCGGGUAAGUUCCGACCUGCACGAAUGGCGUAACGAUGGCCACACUGUCUCCUCCCGAGACUCAGCGAAGUUGAAAUGUUUGUGAUGAUGCAAUCUCCCCGCGGAAAGACGGAAAGACCCCAUGAACCUUUACUGUAGCUUUGUAUUGGACUUUGAACAGAUCUGUGUAGGAUAGGUGGGAGGCUUUGAAGUAGGGUCGCUAGAUCUUAUGGAGCCAACGUUGAAAUACCACCCUGGUGUGUUUGAGGUUCUAACCUAGGUCCAUUAUCUGGAUCGGGGACAGUGCAUGGUAGGCAGUUUGACUGGGGCGGUCUCCUCCCAAAGCGUAACGGAGGAGUUCGAAGGUACGCUAGUUACGGUCGGACAUCGUGACGAUAGUGCAAUGGCAUAAGCGUGCUUAACUGCGAGACUGACAAGUCGAGCAGAUGCGAGAGCAGGACAUAGUGAUCCGGUGGUUCUGUAUGGAAGGGCCAUCGCUCAACGGAUAAAAGGUACUCUGGAUAACAGGCUGAUACCGCCCAAGAGUUCAUAUCGACGGCGGUGUUUGGCACCUCGAUGUCGGCUCAUCUCAUCCUGGGGCUGUAGCCGGUCCCAAGGGUAUGGCUGUUCGCCAUUUAAAGAGGUACGUGAGCUGGGUUUAAAACGUCGUGAGACAGUUUGGUCCCUAUCUUCCGUGGGCGCUGCGGAUUUGAGGAAGCCUGCUCCUAGUACGAGAGGACCGGAGUGGACACACCUCUGGUGUAUCGGUUGUCACGCCAGUGGCAUUGCCGAGUAGCUAAGUGUGGAAGAGAUAACCGCUGAAAGCAUCUAAGCGGGAAACUCGUUUCAAGAUGAGAUCUGCCGGGGCCUUGAGCCCCCUAAAGAGUCGUUCAAGACCAGGACGUUGAUAGGUCAGGUGUGGAAGCGCAGUAAUGCGUUAAGCUAACUGAUACUAAUUGCUCGUGCGGCUUGACC